UGGUGACCAGCUCCUUCUGCUCUCU
Molecule: non-coding RNA, 25 nt
Filed under: Mus musculus (house mouse)
Lineage: Eukaryota; Metazoa; Chordata; Mammalia; Rodentia; Muridae
Source: RNAcentral